UACGGAGGGGGCUAGCGUUGUUCGGAAUUACUGGGCGUAAAGCGCACGUAGGCGGCUUUGUAAGUUAGAGGUGAAAGCCCAGGGCUUAACCCUGGAAUUGCCUUUAAGACUGCAUCGCUUGAAUUGUGGAGAGGUGAGUGGAAUUCCGAGUGUAGAGGUGAAAUUCGUAGAUAUUCGGAAGAACACCAGUGGCGAAGGCGACUCACUGGACACAUAUUGACGCUGAGGUGCGAAAGCGUGGGGAGCAAACAGG
Molecule: ribosomal RNA, 253 nt
Filed under: uncultured bacterium
Lineage: Bacteria
Description: partial 16S ribosomal RNA
Rfam family: Bacterial small subunit ribosomal RNA
Source: RNAcentral